UCUCUGGCAGUCCAAUGGUUAAGACUCUGUACUCCUAAUGCAGAGGACCUGGGUUCAAUCCCUAGUCAGAGAA
Molecule: non-coding RNA, 73 nt
Organism: Budorcas taxicolor (takin)
Lineage: Eukaryota; Metazoa; Chordata; Mammalia; Artiodactyla; Bovidae
Source: the annotation of a RefSeq genome assembly